RNAcentral lists this transfer RNA (65 nucleotides) under Dipodomys ordii (Ord's kangaroo rat). It matches the Rfam family "tRNA". Rfam says of the family: Transfer RNA (tRNA) molecules are approximately 80 nucleotides in length. The record is from Rfam by way of RNAcentral. Lineage: Eukaryota; Metazoa; Chordata; Mammalia; Rodentia; Heteromyidae.
GGUGGCUCAGUGGUAGAGCGCUUGCUUUGCAUGCAUGAGGUCCUGGGUUCGAUUCCUUAGCACCA